UACGUAGGGGGCUAGCGUUAUCCGGAUUUACUGGGCGUAAAGGGUGCGUAGGCGGCUUUUUUAAGUCAGCGGUGAAAUUUUGCAGCUUAACUGUAACAGUGCCGUUGAUACUGGGGAGCUAGGAUUUGGUUGCUGUGGGUGGAAUGUGUGGUGUAGCGGUGAAAUGCUUAGAGAUCACACAGAAUAUCGAUUGCGAAGGCAGCUCACAAAGCCAAGAUUGACGCUGAGGCACGAAAGUGUGGGGAUCAAACAGGAUUAGAUA
RNAcentral lists this ribosomal RNA (262 nucleotides) under uncultured prokaryote. RNAcentral's name for it is "partial 16S ribosomal RNA". It matches the Rfam family "Bacterial small subunit ribosomal RNA", at positions 524 to 784 of the family's 1533-position model. The record is from RNAcentral.